Molecule: long non-coding RNA, 2052 nt
Filed under: Homo sapiens (human)
Lineage: Eukaryota; Metazoa; Chordata; Mammalia; Primates; Hominidae
Description: HSALNT0316893
Source: RNAcentral
ACAAAGUAUGUGCUUCACAAGGGACUGGGUUGGGAGAAUAAGAAGUGCCAAUUCCUGGACCCUGGCCCAGCCCUGAGGAUGGGCAUCUGACUGAGCCCUUUGCAGAGUGAGGCUGCAAGCAGAAGCUGAAGGAGCCGUUUUUCUCAAGGGCCCUGUGGAUGUGGAGAAGCCUGCAGGGAUGCUUGGGGGUUCAGAUGACUGCAUGGCACAGAGCCUCCCACAGCUCUGAAGAGCAGUAAGCCAGGUACUGGACAACUAAGCACUGCAGAAAGACCCAGUUGGUCUGGUCCCUCAGGGCAGCAGCUCUGGGGGGCACCGCCACAGCUUUUCACUGUGGAGAUCAGCAGCAGCAGCUAUGGCAGCAUCCUGACCUCACAGGCCUUCCUGCCUUGCAUGGAGGAGCCAGGCAGGAGAGGAGCAAGACCUGUAGAAGCCUGGGUGAUAGAAGACUACUUGUGAGCUGGUGUGAGUCACGCUCAGCAAAGGGGGAAGAAGCAGUAAAAUGGGGUUAGAAUCAUUCCUGGGACUCUGUUUGUAACCAAGGGUUCUAGGGAAGACUGGUUACAGAAGUGAUCUUGGUGUUGAGCACUUAAAGGCCCAAGAUGGACCGGUUCUAUGAAGGUCGGCAGCAUGAAGGUCAUGUGAGCACACAGUGAGAAAGUGGCCAUCUGCAACCCAAGGGGAGAGCCCUCACCAGACACCAAUCAUGUUGGCACCUCGAUCUUGGCUUUUCAGUCUCCAAACUGUGAGAAGUUUCGUUGCUUAUACUGCCCAGCCUAUGGCAUUUUGUUAUGGUAGCCUGAGCAGACUAAUACAACUAAGAUCAAGCAGAACAAGAAUUAAUUAGAUGAAACGGAAUGAACUGAUGAAGAAUAGUUAUGGCUUUUGUUUGAAAUAUUGUUGCUGGAUUUAAGGAACCCCUUUCUCUUUCCUCUGAAGCUAUCUGUAACUCAUUAAUAGAGUAUGCUUUUGUAAACAGAAUGAAACAUUUACCCUUUAUCCUUGCCUAGACUUUCCAGAAUUUGGAAAGUCAUAUUGAGUAUUCUUAUUUUCACGGUAAUAUAAUUAUUUGCAGAGAUGCAGUCAGAGUCUGUUCUCCUUGAACAGUUCAGAGGUUCCUCAGAAAACUCAAAAUAGAGCUACCAUAUGAUCCAGCAAUCCUACUACUGGGUAUAAGCCCAAAAGAAAGGAAAUCGGUCUAUCAAAGAGAUAUCUGCACCCCCAUGUUUGUUGCAGCACUAUUCACAAUAGCCAAAAUUUAGAAGUAACCUAAGUAUCCAUCAACAGAUGAAUGGAUAAAGAAACUGUGGUACAUAUACACAAUGGAGUAUUAUUUAUCCAUUAAAAAGAAUGAGACCCUGUCAUUUGCAACAACAUGGAUGGAACUAGAGAUCAUUAUUAUAAGUGAAAUAUGCCAGGCACAGAAAGACAAACGUCACAUGUUCUUACUUAUUUGUGGGAUCUAAAAAUCAAAACAGGCUGGGCACAGUGGCUCACACCAGCACUUUGGGAGGCUGAUGCGGGCAGAUUAGUCGAGGUCAGGAGUUCAAGACCAGCCUGACCAACAUGGUGAAACCCCAUCUCUACUAAAAUACAAAAAUUAGCCAGGCGUGGUGGCAGGCACCUGUAAUCUCAGCUACUUAGGAGUCUGAGGCAGGAGAAUCACUUGAACGCAGGAGGCAGAGGUUGCGGUUAGCCAAGAUCAUGCCACUGCAUUCCAGCCUGGGCAACAGAGGGAGACUCCCUCUCAAAAAAUAAAUAAAUAAAUACAUAAAAAUAAAAACAAUUGAACACAUGGAGAUAGUAGAAGGAUGGUUAUCAGAGGCUGGGAAGGGUAGCAGGAGAAUGAUGGGGGGAGGUGGGGAUGGUUAAUGGGUGCAAAAAAAAAGAAUGAAUGAAUGAGUAAGACCUGGUAUUGAAGAGCACAACAGGGUGACUAUAGGCAAUAAUAAUUUGAUUGUACAUUUGAAAAUAACUAAAAGAGCAUACCCAGCACUUUGGGAGGCCGAGGCGGGCGGAUCACGAGGUCAGGAGAUCGAGACCAUCCCGGCU